CUCCAUGGCGGCUGUGUGCCGGAGACCUAUGGUCUGCCGGUGGACUCCUUAGCCGGUUCGCUAACCGUCACACAGUCGCCACCUUU
Molecule: non-coding RNA, 86 nt
Filed under: Pseudomonas sp. StFLB209
Lineage: Bacteria; Pseudomonadati; Pseudomonadota; Gammaproteobacteria; Pseudomonadales; Pseudomonadaceae
Source: RNAcentral